RNAcentral lists this ribosomal RNA (626 nucleotides) under uncultured organism. RNAcentral's name for it is "bacterial SSU rRNA". It matches the Rfam family "Bacterial small subunit ribosomal RNA", at positions 15 to 636 of the family's 1533-position model. The record is from RNAcentral.
GAUCCUGGCUCCAUUGAACGCUGGCGGCAUGCUUCCCAAUGCCAGUCGAACGGUAACUGGUCCUUCGGGAUGCUGUUUAGUGGCGGACGGGUGAGUAGCACGUAGGGAUCUGCCUGGUAGUGGGGGACAACCUGGGGAAACCCAGGCUAAUACCGCAUACGCCCUGAGGGGGAAAGAGCGCCUCUGCUUGCAAGCACUCGCUAUUGGAUGAGCCUACGUCGGAUUACCUAGUUGGUAGGGUAAAGGCCUACCAAGGCGACGAUCCGUAGCUGGUCUGAGAGGAUGAUCAGCCACACUGGGACUGAGACACGGUCCACACUCCUACGGGAGGCAGCAGUGGGGAAUAUUGGACAAUGGGGGCAACCCUGAUCCAGCAAUGCCGCGUGGGUGAAGAAGGCCUGCGGGUUGUAAAGCCCUUUCGGUGGCGAACAAGCUCUGGGGUGUGAAUACCCGCUCUGGGGUGACGUUACCCACAGAACACCCACCGGCUAACUCCUUGCCAGCAGCCGCGGUGAUACGGAGGGUGCAAGCGUUAAUCGGAAUUACUGGGUCUAAACGCAUGUAAUGCUGUUUGCCCCGUUUGAUCUGAAACCCUGGGCUCACCCGGUGAAUGCUCUUGAUACUGA